AACAAACGCUGGCGGCGUGCCUAAUACAUGCAAGUCGAACGAGGAAAGUAGCAAUAUGAGUACUACUGGCGCACGGGUGAGUAACGCGUGGGUAAUCUUCCUCGAAGCGUGGGAUAACCAGUCGAAAGAUUGGCUAAUACCACAUAAGACCACAGGAUCUGCGGAUCUAGGGGUCAAAGGUUUUUCGCUUUGAGAUGAGCCCGCGUAGGAUUAGCUAGUUGGUGAGGUAACGGCUCACCAAGGCAACGAUCUUUAACUGGUCUUAGAGGAUGAUCAGUCACACUGGAACUGAGACACGGUCCAGACUCCUACGGGAGGCAGCAGUAGGGAAUAUUGCACAAUGGAGAAACUCUGAUGCAGCGACGCCGCGUGAGUGAUGAAGGACUUCGGUUCGUAAAGC
RNAcentral lists this ribosomal RNA (400 nucleotides) under uncultured bacterium. Its description in RNAcentral is "bacterial SSU rRNA". It matches the Rfam family "Bacterial small subunit ribosomal RNA", at positions 29 to 431 of the family's 1533-position model. The record is from RNAcentral.